This 227-nucleotide ribosomal RNA is filed under the name uncultured bacterium. RNAcentral describes it as "partial 16S ribosomal RNA". The record is from RNAcentral.
CUGCUGCCUUCCGUAGGAGUCUGGGCCGUAUCUCAGUCCCAAUGUGGCCGUUCAACCUCUCAGUCCGGCUACUGAUCGUCGCCUUGGUAGGCCGUUACCCCACCAACUAGCUAAUCAGCCGCAAGCUCAUCUAUCAGCGAAUUGCUUCUUUCCCACUAUCAUCAUGCGAUGACUAUGGCAUAUGCGGUAUUAGCAGUGAUUUCUCACUGUUAUUCCCCUCUGAUAGG